RNAcentral lists this ribosomal RNA (253 nucleotides) under uncultured bacterium. Its description in RNAcentral is "partial 16S ribosomal RNA". It matches the Rfam family "Bacterial small subunit ribosomal RNA", at positions 524 to 776 of the family's 1533-position model. The record is from RNAcentral.
UACGAGUGCCCCAAGCGUUAUCCGGAAUUACUGGGCGUAAAGGGUGUGUAGGCGGCGCGGUUAGUCCUCUGUUAAAGCUCCCGGCUUAACCGGGAAAGUGCAGGGGAAACGGCCACGCUAGAGGGGGUGAAAGGUCUAUGGAACUCAUGGUGUAGGGGUGAAAUCCGUUGAUAUCAUGGGGAACACCAAAGGCGAAGGCAAUAGACUGGCACCUUACUGACGCUGAAACACGAAAGCGUGGGGAUCAAACGGG